GAUUUCUGAACAUCAGUUUCUGGUCGGCCACGGUUUCGUGUGUUAGUGCUUGAAACUUUGUUCAUCCUUUCAAGUAUUCUCAUUGGAUCUUCAUUGAUUCAGUGAGGAUGUUGAAUCUUUUACUUUGAAAAAAUUAGAGUGUUUCAAGCAGGCUUUAUGCUAUGAAUACAUUAGCAUGGAAUAAUAAUUUAGGACUUCGGUUCUAUUUUGUUGGUUUCUAGGACUGAAGUAAUGAUUGAUAGGGAUAGUUGGGGGUGCUAGUAUUCAGCGGCCAGAGGUGAAAUUCUCGGAUUCGCUGAAGACUAACUUAUGCGAAAGCAUU
This 322-nucleotide ribosomal RNA is filed under the name Sandona sp. RNAcentral describes it as "SSU rRNA". It matches the Rfam family "Eukaryotic small subunit ribosomal RNA", at positions 634 to 955 of the family's 1831-position model. Lineage: Eukaryota; Cercozoa; Glissomonadida; Sandonidae. The record is from RNAcentral.